RNAcentral lists this ribosomal RNA (1001 nucleotides) under Arenibacter troitsensis. RNAcentral describes it as "bacterial SSU rRNA". It matches the Rfam family "Bacterial small subunit ribosomal RNA", at positions 79 to 1087 of the family's 1533-position model. The record is from RNAcentral. Lineage: Bacteria; Pseudomonadati; Bacteroidota; Flavobacteriia; Flavobacteriales; Flavobacteriaceae.
CUUAUCCGCCGGCGACCGGCGCACGGGUGCGCAACGCGUAUAGAAUCUGCCCUGUACUGGGGAAUAGCCCAGAGAAAUUUGGAUUAAUGCCCCAUGGUAUGUGGAAGCGGCAUCGCUUUUACAUUAAAGGCUACGGUACGGGAUGACUAUGCGUCCCAUUAGUUAGUUGGUAAGGUAACGGCUUACCAAGGCAGCGAUGGGUAGGGGCCCUGAGAGGGGGAUCCCCCACACUGGUACUGAGACACGGACCAGACUCCUACGGGAGGCAGCAGUGAGGAAUAUUGGACAAUGGGCGGGAGCCUGAUCCAGCCAUGCCGCGUGCAGGAAGACGGUCCUAUGGAUUGUAAACUGCUUUUGUACGGGAAGAACAAGGGGCACGUGUGCCCCUCUGACGGUACCGUAAGAAUAAGGAUCGGCUAACUCCGUGCCAGCAGCCGCGGUAAUACGGAGGAUCCGAGCGUUAUCCGGAAUCAUUGGGUUUAAAGGGUCCGUAGGCGGGCCAUUAAGUCAGGGGUGAAAGUCUGCGGCUCAACCGUAGAAUUGCCCUUGAUACUGGUGGUCUUGAGUUAUGGUGAAGUAACUAGAAUAUGUAGUGUAGCGGUGAAAUGCAUAGAUAUUACAUAGAAUACCGAUUGCGAAGGCAGGUUACUAACCAUAUACUGACGCUGAUGGACGAAAGCGUGGGGAGCGAACAGGAUUAGAUACCCUGGUAGUCCACGCCGUAAACGAUGGAUACUAGCUGUCCGGAUGCAAAUCUGGGCGGCCAAGCGAAAGUGAUAAGUAUCCCACCUGGGGAGUACGUCCGCAAGGAUGAAACUCAAAGGAAUUGACGGGGGCCCGCACAAGCGGUGGAGCAUGUGGUUUAAUUCGAUGAUACGCGAGGAACCUUACCAGGGCUUAAAUGUGGUCUGACAGCUUUAGAGAUAGAGUUUCCUUCGGGCAGAUCACAAGGUGCUGCAUGGUUGUCGUCAGCUCGUGCCGUGAGGUGUCAGGUUAAGUCC